Long non-coding RNA from Diorhabda carinulata, 587 nucleotides. RefSeq lists it as uncharacterized. The transcript is spliced from 3 exons. NCBI's taxonomy places the organism in Eukaryota, Metazoa, Arthropoda, Insecta, Coleoptera, Chrysomelidae. The record is from RefSeq and is a predicted model, not a curated record.
GUCUUCGUUAAAUAUAUAUCACAUGGAUAUAAAGAGCACUGUUCACUGUAAAUUAGUAUGACUAUAUUAUUAUUUGCUCGAUUCGAAGGAAUCCUCGAUAUUUACAGGCAAUUACAUUGUUCAAGGAGCUACAGAAGUCUUGUAUUAUGAGCAGUAAUAAAUGGAACUAUUUCAAAACAUUUUCAACAUCGCCAUUGCUGCAGCAGUUUUAAUUGUCACACCCACAAACAUGAACUGUGUACACCGUGUGCCCCCUGGGAACUUGGAGUCAUAGACGCAGGUUUACCAGGAAAUCCUGCUCUAAGAAUAAGUUACUCAGUGUUUGGGAGCGCUCUUAAGGAAACAUACUAAGUAUGGCGGCGCAAAUUUUCUGAGGAUUCGUCUCAUCCGGAUACAUCUGCAUGGCUUGAGUGACUUGUUCUUCGGGAAAGAUAGCUGCUAGAUGAUAGUGCAAUUUUCUACGGUCCUCUUGGACGGGAGAACUGCCGGAUAAGUGAUGCGUACCACCUUGAGACCAAACAGGAGGCCACAUGUUCAAUUGUGUAUCCGAACAACUUGAUAUUCUCUGCAUAUGUCUAAAUAAAAAG